GACGACGCUGGCGGCGCGCCUAACACAUGCAAGUCGAACGGGCGCAUUCCUUCGGGGAUGCGUUAGUGGCGGACGGGUGAGUAACACGUGAGCAACCUGCCCUAGAAUGGGGGAUAACACAGGGAAACCUGUGCUAAUACCGCAUAACAUUAAGUGAUGGCAUCAUUGCUUAAUCAAAGGAGAAAUCCGUUUUAGGAUGGGCUCGCGCCCGAUUAGAUAGUUGGUGAGGUAACGGCCCACCAAGUCUGCGAUCGGUAGCCGGACUGAGAGGUUGAACGGCCACAUUGGGACUGAGACACGGCCCAGACUCCUACGGGAGGCAGCAGUGGGGGAUAUUGCACAAUGGGCGAAAGCCUGAUGCAGCGACGCCGCGUGAGGGAAGACGGUCUUCGGAUUGUAAACCUCUGUCUUCGGGGAAGAAGAAUGACGGUACCCGAGGAGGAAGCCACGGCUAACUACGUG
Molecule: ribosomal RNA, 462 nt
Filed under: uncultured bacterium
Lineage: Bacteria
Description: bacterial SSU rRNA
Rfam family: Bacterial small subunit ribosomal RNA
Source: RNAcentral